UACCAAUUCCUCAGUUAAGUAAACGGUGGU
This 30-nucleotide non-coding RNA is filed under the name Mus musculus (house mouse). The record is from RNAcentral. Lineage: Eukaryota; Metazoa; Chordata; Mammalia; Rodentia; Muridae.